Molecule: ribosomal RNA, 635 nt
Filed under: Microbacterium sp. So2Pw_1252
Lineage: Bacteria; Bacillati; Actinomycetota; Actinomycetes; Micrococcales; Microbacteriaceae
Description: bacterial SSU rRNA
Rfam family: Bacterial small subunit ribosomal RNA
Source: RNAcentral
CAGCCUGAUGCAGCAACGCCGCGUGAGGGACGACGGCCUUCGGGUUGUAAACCUCUUUUAGCAGGGAAGAAGCGAAAGUGACGGUACCUGCAGAAAAAGCACCGGCUAACUACGUGCCAGCAGCCGCGGUAAUACGUAGGGUGCAAGCGUUAUCCGGAAUUAUUGGGCGUAAAGAGCUCGUAGGCGGUUUGUCGCGUCUGCUGUGAAACCCCGAGGCUCAACCUCGGGCCUGCAGUGGGUACGGGCAGACUAGAGUGCGGUAGGGGAGAUUGGAAUUCCUGGUGUAGCGGUGGAAUGCGCAGAUAUCAGGAGGAACACCGAUGGCGAAGGCAGAUCUCUGGGCCGUAACUGACGCUGAGGAGCGAAAGGGUGGGGAGCAAACAGGCUUAGAUACCCUGGUAGUCCACCCCGUAAACGUUGGGAACUAGUUGUGGGGUCCAUUCCACGGAUUCCGUGACGCAGCUAACGCAUUAAGUUCCCCGCCUGGGGAGUACGGCCGCAAGGCUAAAACUCAAAGGAAUUGACGGGGACCCGCACAAGCGGCGGAGCAUGCGGAUUAAUUCGAUGCAACGCGAAGAACCUUACCAAGGCUUGACAUAUACGAGAACGCUGCAGAAAUGUAGAACUCUUUGGAC